Molecule: ribosomal RNA, 916 nt
Filed under: uncultured archaeon
Lineage: Archaea
Description: bacterial SSU rRNA
Rfam family: Archaeal small subunit ribosomal RNA
Source: RNAcentral
UCCGGUUGAUCCCGCCGGAGGUUACUGCUAUCGAGGUUCGACUAAGCCAUGCGAGUCGAAUGUAGCAAUACAUGGCGUACUGCUCAGUAACACGUGGACAACCUACCCUUGAGACGGGGAUAAACCCGGGAAACUGGGUAUAAUACCCGAUAGAUCUCGACUGCUGGAAUGCAUCGAGCUCCAAAGCUCCGGCGCUCAAGGAUGGGUCUGCGGCCUAUCAGGUAGUAGUGGGUGUAGCGUACCUACUAGCCUACGACGGGUACGGGUUGUGAGAGCAAGAGCCCGGAGAUGGAUUCUGAGACACGAAUCCAGGCCCUACGGGGUGCAGCAGGCGCGAAAACUUUACAAUGCUGGAAACAGCGAUAAGGGGACCCCGAGUGCCAGGUUACAAAUCUGGCUGUCGUGAUGCCUAAAAAGCAUUGCAUAGCAAGGGCCGAGCAAGACCGGUGCCAGCCGCCGCGGUAACACCGGCGGCUCGAGUGGUAACCGUUAUUAUUGGGUCUAGAGGGUCUGUAGCCGGCCGGAUAAGUCUCUUGGGAAAUCUGGCAGCUUAACUGUCAGGCUUUCAGGAGAUACUGUCUGGCUCGAGGCCGGGAGAGGUGAGAGGUACUUCAGGGGUAGGGGUGAAAUCUUGUAAUCCUUGAAGGACCACCAGUGGCGAAGGCGUCUCACCAGAACGGACCUGACGGCAAGGGACGAAAGCUCGGGGUACGAACCGGAUUAGAUACCCGGGUAGUCCUAGCCGUAAACGAUACUCGCUAGGUGUCGGCCACGGUGCGACCGUUGUCGGUGCCGUAGGGAAGCCGUGAAGCGAGCCACCUGGGAAGUACGGCCGCAAGGCUGAAACUUAAAGGAAUUGGCGGGGGAGCACCACAACGGGUGGAGCUUGCGGUUUAAUUGGAUUCAACGCCGGAAA